This 360-nucleotide ribosomal RNA is filed under the name uncultured bacterium. RNAcentral describes it as "partial 16S ribosomal RNA". It matches the Rfam family "Bacterial small subunit ribosomal RNA", at positions 338 to 696 of the family's 1533-position model. The record is from RNAcentral.
CCUACGGGAGGCAGCAGUGAGGAAUAUUGCUCAAUGGGCGAGAUCCUGAACCAGCAAAGCCGCGUGAGGGAAGACGGCCCUAGGGGUUGUAAACCUCUUUUGUCGGGGAACAAAACCCGGGACGUGUCCCGGACUGCGUGUCUCCGAAGAAAAAGCAUCGACAAACUCCGAGCCAGCAGCCGCGGUAAUACUGAGGAUGCAAGCGUUAUCCGGAGUUAUUGGGUGUAAAGGGUACGUAGGCGGGCCUGUAAGUGCGCGGUAAAAUUUAGGGGCUUAACCCUGUCGAGCCGUGGAAACUGGGAGACUUGAGUGGGGGAGAAGAAAGCGGAAUGUGCGGUGUAGCGGUGAAAUGCAUAGAUA